GAUGAAGAACGCAUCGAAAUGCGAUAAGUAAUGUGAAUUGCAGAAUUCAGUGAAUCAUCGAGUCUUUGAACGCACAUUGCGCCCCCUGGUAUUCCGGGGGGCAUGCCUGUCCGAGCGUCAUUGCUGCCCUCAAGCACGGCUUGUGUGUUGGGCCCCCGUCCCCGGUUCUCCCCGGGGACGGGCCCGAAAGGCAGCGGCGGCACCGCGUCCGAUCCUCGAGCGUAUGGGGCUUUGUCACCCGCUCUGUAGGCCCGGCCGGCGCCAGCCGACACCCCAACUUUAUUUUCUAAGGUUGACCUCGGAUCAGGUAGGGAUACCCGCUGAACUUAAGCAUAUCAAUAAGCGGAGGA
RNAcentral lists this unclassified non-coding RNA (350 nucleotides) under soil metagenome. RNAcentral describes it as "partial contains 5.8S ribosomal RNA, internal transcribed spacer 2, and large subunit ribosomal RNA". The stretch from base 1 to 120 matches the Rfam family "5.8S ribosomal RNA", at positions 35 to 154 of the family's 154-position model. The record is from RNAcentral.